AGCGAACGCUGGCGGCAGGCCUAACACAUGCAAGUCGAACGAACCUUUCGGGGUUAGUGGCGGACGGGUGAGUAACACGUGGGAACGUGCCAUUAGGUUCGGAAUAACCCAGGGAAACUUGUGCUAAUACCGAAAGAGCCCUUCGGGGGAAAGAUUAAUCGCCUUUAGAGCGGACCGCGUCUGAUUAGCUAGUUGGUUGAGGUAAUGGCUCACCAAGGCGACGAUCAGUAGCUGGUCUGAGAGGAUGAUCAGCCACAUUGGGACUGAGACACGGCCCAAACUCCUACGGGAGGCAGCAGUGGGGAAUCUUGCGCAAUGGGCGAAAGCCUGACGCAGCCAUGCCGCGUGAAUGAUGAAGGUCUUAGGAUUGUAAAAUUCUUUCGCCGGGGACGAUAAUGACGGUACCCGGAGAAGAAGCCCCGGCUAACUUCGUG
This 434-nucleotide ribosomal RNA is filed under the name uncultured bacterium. RNAcentral describes it as "partial 16S ribosomal RNA". It matches the Rfam family "Bacterial small subunit ribosomal RNA", at positions 29 to 507 of the family's 1533-position model. The record is from RNAcentral.